This 519-nucleotide ribosomal RNA is filed under the name uncultured eukaryote. RNAcentral describes it as "SSU rRNA". It matches the Rfam family "Eukaryotic small subunit ribosomal RNA", at positions 1161 to 1699 of the family's 1831-position model. The record is from RNAcentral.
AGGGCACCACCAGGAGUGGAGCCUGCGGCUUAAUUUGGCUCAACACGGGAAAACUCACCCGGCCCGGACACUGGAAGGAUUGACAGAUUGAGAGCUCUUUCUUGAUUCAGUGGGUGGUGGUGCAUGGCCGUUCUUAGUUGGUGGAGUGAUUUGUCUGGUUAAUUCCGAUAACGAACGAGACUCUAGCCUACUAAAUAGAUCGUCGGCUUACAAACGCCGGCGAGACUUCUUAGAGGGACAGGCGGUGAUUCAACCGCACGAAACAGAGCAAUAACAGGUCUGUGAUGCCCUUAGAUGUCCGGGGCCGCACGCGCGCUACACUGAAGUGAUCAGCGUGCUUUUUCAACCUACUCUGUCAAGAGUGGGGAACCCAAUGAACCUUCUUCGUGAUUGGGAUAGGGGAUUGUAAUUAUUCCCCUUGAACGAGGAAUUCCCAGUAAGCGCGAGUCAUAAGCUCGCGUUGAUUACGUCCCUGCCCUUUGUACACACCGCCCGUCGCUACUACCGACUGAAUGUUUU